UGCGACAUGUCGUAACACGUAAAUUUUGAUUGCAAGGGUAUGUUGAAUGUAAAAGGAAGUUUUUCCCCUCUUGUAUUUAGAAAUAUGCGUAUGGUGAUACAUGUAUAACUCAUUAACCAAAUAUAAUUAAGACCUAUGGUCUUUUGAUUUGAGGUCCUUGGUUUAAGACUUUCAAAUUAAUCUCAAGGUCAUAGCUUAAUUUGACGUUUUAGAUUUUGACCUUUGCUUUUACCUCAUAUGUAUACAUGAUAAAGCCAUGGACAUUUUGGCAAAAGGUAUCAAACCAUUUAACCUUGAAAAAACAACCGGAAA
RNAcentral lists this long non-coding RNA (312 nucleotides) under Mytilus galloprovincialis (Mediterranean mussel). Lineage: Eukaryota; Metazoa; Mollusca; Bivalvia; Mytilida; Mytilidae. The record is from RNAcentral.